Elaeis guineensis (African oil palm) is the source of this 440-nucleotide non-coding RNA. The record is from RefSeq and is a predicted model, not a curated record. Lineage: Eukaryota; Viridiplantae; Streptophyta; Magnoliopsida; Arecales; Arecaceae.
GGAACGCCAAGUUCCUGCCCUCAAAACUGUUCCUUUUGAUGAGAUUGAGGAGAAGGCAUUAGUUUCUCUGGCUGAGUUACACUUCUUCAGAGACUUUCUUUAUCUCUUCCACGAAAGACUUCUUGUCUUCUUCUCUUGUGGAGUCACUCCUUUUGACUGGCAUUGUCUCAAUGGAUAUCUAUUUCUUAUCUUGAAUCUGGAGUAUCACACAAAUUGCAAACUGCUCACUCAACAGAAGUAAGGGAAGGGAGGAGAUUUCUAGGCUAACUACUUCACGGUAGUGACCCCACGAGCAGCGACCUCUUAGCGCCGACGAUGCGGAUUCUAGCCAUGCAGUCCAAGCACGACCACGUCCAAUGAUGGCGGUUGGCUCAGUGGAAAGAUAGAAGAAGACAAGAAAAGAGAAAGCCCUACUCAUAGAAUCCAGCCACUAUCCACCA